This 249-nucleotide unclassified non-coding RNA is filed under the name Hevea brasiliensis (rubber tree). The record is from RNAcentral. Lineage: Eukaryota; Viridiplantae; Streptophyta; Magnoliopsida; Malpighiales; Euphorbiaceae.
AGUAAAAUAGUGAGGGCGGUGUGUCUGAUAUUUAACAAAGGUACCAAGUGAAUACCAGAUUACAAGAUUGUAUUUUACAUAUAUAACAAUUGUCCAAUUUAUCAAAACACAAAAGACUUUGUGAGAAACCCGAAUAAAAAAAAGACUAAAGAAUGAUCCUAUAAUGAUGUAAGAUGGAAUUUUUCUCAUCAUUCUUACAUCAGUCAAAGGCAUGUUCAUGCCCAUAUAGAGAGUCGAGUGAGAUGUGUG